UUGUAGAAGGGAGAUAAUGGUGGCAACGGAGGAGAGGUAAAUUUUGCGUUUUUUUCUUCAUGAUAUGUGUGUUUAGGUUUUCAUUAUAGUUUUCAAAAAAGGCGUUUUCAUAUAGAUUUGGUGUGGGCAGGCAUUGCGUGAGAGAACCACCACAUAGGAGUCUGCGCAACCGUGGUCUUCUUUCCCCAUCUUCGGCGAACUUUCUCGCUCAACCCCUACCUCAAUCCUUAAUUAUCCAUGUCAUGGAGCACAUCGACCACUAGGCAGUUGUUCAUCGACUACUAGACAGUUGGUCGGAAUAUAAAAAGUUGGAUAUCUCACUCGCGGUGGUAGUUAGAGUAGUGAAAAUUCCACAUCCGACUAUUAGGCAAUUGGCAGGUGCAGCAGACGAAGUUGCACAUCAUUUGCUAGAUAGGCGGCCGGGACAGCUGAUGAAGUUGUACAACAACUGCUAAACAGUUGGCCAGGACAGCAGACGAAGUUGCACAUUGCACAGCCAGAGGCUGUUGAGGUGGUGAAAACUGCACAUCCACGGAGUCGGGGGAACGUUGUACAUUGACCUACUAGAACGUUGGUUGCGGCAGCAGAUGAAGUUGCAUAUCGUCUGGUAGUCAGUUGGCGCAGAUAGCGCAUGAAGUUGCACAUCUCACUAACAUGGAUAAUUAGGGAGGUAAAAAAUGCACAUCCAUGGGGUAGGGAAAAAGUUGCACAUCGACUACUAGGCAGUUGGCCGGGCAGCAGCCGAAGUUGCACACCAACUACUAGGCAGUUGGACGGGCAGUAGUCGAAGUUGCACAUCGUCUGCUAGGCAGGUGGAACGGGCAUCGGAUGAAGUUGCACAUCAUUUGUUAGUCAGUUGGCACGAACAACAGAUGUUAUUGCACAUCAUUUGUUAGCCAAUUGGCGCCGACAGCAAAUGAAGUUGCACAUCUCACUGGGCAGGGGUAAUUAGGGUGGUGAAAAAUGCAUGUCCACGUGGUAGAGAUAAGAUGCAGAUCUACUGCUAGAUAGUUGUCCGAGCGGUAAAUGAAGUUGCAUAUCAUCUGCUAGACAAGUGGACGGGGCAGCAGGUGAAGUUUCUCAUCACAUGAAGUUGAUUCAUCUAACACUAAAAUUACACCAUGCAGUACUAUAGUUUGGUUGUGGUAGCACCAAAUUUAGUUUUAAAAAAAGUUGCAUCCCAUAGUAUAAAAGUUGCACCAUGUAGUACCAACAGUUGGCUGUGAAAAAAGUUCAUCGAAACCUAUAUAAAUUAAAUCUAGUUUUAAAGAUCUCAUCGCGAGGAUUACAACGAUGAAAACGGAUUUUAAUUUUAAUAUGUGGUUUGAAAGUUAUAGCUUUUGAAUUUUUUGAAAUGCAAUUAAUUGGCUUUUUGCUUUACUAAUGCAGAUAGGAAGAAGUGGCGCCAGCGUGAAGGAGGAAAUAGAAGACGUGUCGGUGGCCGAUGCUUUUUUAGUUUUGUCUCACGUGGGGACCAGGUUUCUUAAUUAGGACAUGGGACAUAAAUAUUCCUAAUAUGGCUGGCUGCCGAGGAUCGCUAGCGAGCGCACGGCUGCUCGCUAGACGUAUCCCUA
RNAcentral lists this long non-coding RNA (1574 nucleotides) under Triticum aestivum (bread wheat). RNAcentral describes it as "long non-coding RNA (TAES_LNC000302)". Lineage: Eukaryota; Viridiplantae; Streptophyta; Magnoliopsida; Poales; Poaceae. The record is from RNAcentral.